GGCUGCUGCGGGCGCGUCUGGACCUGGCUGGACGUCACACCACGGCCGGCAGAGCGGACCCAAGAGAGGACAUAGACGUUCUUCAAAGGUUGAAAAAAGAAAGAAUGGGGAACAUUAGCAUCAUGGGCUGAGCAAGGUUACAGAAGAUGUGAAAGGGGCCAUCUUAGUCCACUGGGCCAGUGAAACGCAUUUGUCCAAGACAUUGUGACUUCAGAGAAGAACCAGAAGCUGCACAAUGUUAGAUCCAGUGAAUAAGGUAAACGAGCACACACCGCCAUGUUCUCACAAGCCCGUGUUUCUGUUGGAUGGCGCGUGGCAGCAGCAUUCACAGAAUUUUUGAUCACACCUCACAGAGACACUCACGAAAGAGAAUUUCCAGAACUGCUUCGGAAAGUGGUAUGAAUUAUGGGAUAAGUGUGUUUGAAGUGAGGGGGAGUAUAUUGAGGGGAAAUAAGAGUGAUGUGUCUUUUCCAGGAAUAAUUUUUAAAAUUUAAAUAUUCACCAUACAUUUUGAUCACCCCUUGUAUGCAGAUGGGUGCUUAUGGAUGUGAAGAUGUACAUGACAAAAUGCCUUUGGGGAUGCAUAAGUUUCAGCGUGGCACAUCACAGAGUUCCCAGACAGACUGGUUGUGGGAACUCCAACUGUCUAUAUUCCCAGCUUCAAAUUCAAUAGCUGUAACAAGGAACUUCACAUUAAUUGGUCUCCAAAUUUAUUUUACUCCGAAUUGAUCCUGUGAUGUGAGGGCACACAGGGGUUGUGUGCACAGUUUUUCACCUGAAAAACUAGAAAUAAGACUUAAAAGCUCAGAAUAGAGAAAGCACUUUACAUUCAAUUCAUGUCACAUUUUUAAAGUUCUAAGACAGCAAUUAUACUCUUAAAUCCCUAGCUGCUGCUGUUUUUCACAUUUGAUUAGAGGGUGAAAUGUGACAGAACCUGUAAUUUUGCUGUCUUAAUUAUUAUGUUCCAGAGGCUUAAAGUAGCCAGUAGAAUACAUAAAUGCCAAUCUUUUUCUUCUUUUCAAUGAGGGGAAAACCACAAUAGUAACUUGGAUUCCCAUUGUGUCUUUUCACCAAGAAGCUAAGAACAUCUUAUGGAAUUGCUAGAAGACCAGAGGAAAGCAGACCUUGGGCAUGAUCCCUACUGGCAUCUCAAACCAUGACAGAGGCAGGGGCAGUUCAAAGCACCUCGCUGCCUGCCCUCUUCUGUAUGGAGAAAAAGAGCUGCCUCCUGCUUCCCACUUUUUUUUUAUGCUUUCUUAUUUUAUUAAAGCUCCUGGCUUCGUAAUCCCUGUGUACAUUGGGGUCCCUGGGCAUCAAAACCGUGCUCAUGCUACUUGCCACUCACAUGCAGUCAUGAAACAGCUCGUGAGAAACGAAAAGCAUGUACCACACAAAGGAAUGAUUUUGGAGGGAGUUGAAUGUAGCUGGUCACAAAGUUAAUUCAUGAGCAACAGAUCAGAUUCCCCCUUCCCUGCUCUUUCAAUUUGCCAACACCGUGGGUCUCCAGCUGGUGGGCUUCCCCUGUACUAGGGACUUGGGAAGACUGUGUGGGCUGUCAUUUCACUGUCAUUGUGCCUUAGCAUUCCUUAGGACAGUGCAGGUAUGACACACCAACAAAGCUACCACCGGAUGCAAACCUUAUGGUACAGGGCAGUUAGCAGUUUCUGAGGGGUUUUACAUGUGUCAGGGCUCUGUCUUUCUGUUCUUAGAAUAGCAAACAUUUUAUGGUGUUAGUUGGCAGCGCAUCACCCCAUGCUACC
This is a long non-coding RNA of Chinchilla lanigera (long-tailed chinchilla), 1760 nucleotides long. RefSeq lists it as uncharacterized. Lineage: Eukaryota; Metazoa; Chordata; Mammalia; Rodentia; Chinchillidae. The transcript has 3 exons. The record is from RefSeq and is a predicted model, not a curated record.